UACGUAGGGUGCGAGCGUUAAUCGGAAUUACUGGGCGUAAAGCGUGCGCAGGCGGUUUUGUAAGCCAGAUGUGAAAGCCCCGGGCUUAACCUGGGAAUGGCAUUUGGGACUGCAAGGCUGGAGUUUGGCAGAGGAGACUGGAAUUCCUGGUGUAGCAGUGAAAUGCGUAGAUAUCAGGAGGAAUACCGAUGGCGAAGGCAGGUCUCUGGGCUAUAACUGACGCUCAUGCACGAAAGCGUGGGGAGCAAACGGG
Molecule: ribosomal RNA, 253 nt
Filed under: uncultured bacterium
Lineage: Bacteria
Description: partial 16S ribosomal RNA
Rfam family: Bacterial small subunit ribosomal RNA
Source: RNAcentral